UUACGGCUUGCAUCACGGUUGUGCUUCUUUGGCAGUUUGUGAGCGAUUGGUGUAAGAUCCCCAAUAUCUACGAUGUCAGUUUCAAAGAUAUAUUGGAGGUUUCUAGUGUUAGCGGAAUUAAAGAUCCAUAGUGCUUCAAGGUAUCAUGGUUAUUGGAUGUUGGAGUCUUUGGAAGGCGAGGAACAAUCUCAUCUUCUCCGACCAUUUGGCAGCUCUUAUCACAGUGGUGUCAUGUUUCUUCUAUUUAUGCUUUCCACUUCCAUGACUUGUUACAGCUACAUCAGAGCUUUAGCAGGUCAAAUAAACAACGUAAGGUGUAUCAGAUAGUCAUUUUAACGGUUUUAUGGAGCUUAUGGAGAACAAGAAAUAAUGCGGUCUUCAACAACAAACAACCUCAUAUUGCAGUCGUGAUUGAGGAGUCGAAUGCGCUUAGUUUCCUUUGGGUUAAGUACCGUUGAAGUCGAGUAAUGUGUCUUGGGAGGCAUGAAAGAAAUUUGAUCUUGUUGCUUUGUUUAAGUUUUGCAUUGUUGUUUUUUGGUGUAUGGUUUGGGUUUUGUUGUGUUGGCCAACCUCUUGCUAGUUGGGGUUUAUGAUUAUAAUAAAACGAGGUUUAGUUGGUCGUUCAAAAUAGGAAGUUGAGAAAGAUUUAUUGAUAUAUCUAUAAUAUGUAUAUAUACACACAUGCAUUUGUAAUAUCAAAGAAAUCUUAAUAAUAGAAGAAGAGAUUCGGUUUUGA
Helianthus annuus (common sunflower) is the source of this 736-nucleotide long non-coding RNA. RefSeq lists it as uncharacterized. The transcript has 2 exons. NCBI's taxonomy places the organism in Eukaryota, Viridiplantae, Streptophyta, Magnoliopsida, Asterales, Asteraceae. The record is from RefSeq and is a predicted model, not a curated record.